CAUAAAUACCUUAUAGCGAUCGCGUAUCAUAGAAGGGAACAUAUUCGCCAACACGCAGUGGACCAGCGUGGUGGAUUAAGUUCUAAUCCUUCUUCUGCAUGGAUAAUAUAUAGUGGGAUAUUACA
Molecule: long non-coding RNA, 125 nt
Organism: Melitaea cinxia (Glanville fritillary)
Lineage: Eukaryota; Metazoa; Arthropoda; Insecta; Lepidoptera; Nymphalidae
Exons: 3
Source: RefSeq, a predicted model, not a curated record